RNAcentral lists this unclassified non-coding RNA (337 nucleotides) under soil metagenome. Its description in RNAcentral is "partial contains 5.8S ribosomal RNA, internal transcribed spacer 2, and large subunit ribosomal RNA". The stretch from base 1 to 120 matches the Rfam family "5.8S ribosomal RNA", at positions 35 to 154 of the family's 154-position model. The record is from RNAcentral.
GAUGAAGAACGUAGCGAAAUGCGAUAAGUAGUGUGAAUUGCAGAAUUCAGUGAAUCAUCGAAUCUUUGAACGCACAUUGCGCCCCUUGGUAUUCCAUGGGGCAUGCCUGUUCGAGCGUCAUUUGUACCUUCAAGCUCUGCUUGGUGUUGGGUGUUAGUCUCGCCUCCGCGUGUAGACUCGCCUCAAAACGAUUGGCAGCCGGCGUAUUGAUUUCGGAGCGCAGUACAUCUCGCGCUUUGCACUCACAACGACGGCGUCCAGAAGUACAUUUUUACACUCUUGACCUCGGAUCAGGUAGGGAUACCCGCUGAACUUAAGCAUAUCAAUAAGCGGAGGA